Molecule: microRNA precursor, 107 nt
Filed under: Canis lupus familiaris (dog)
Lineage: Eukaryota; Metazoa; Chordata; Mammalia; Carnivora; Canidae
Also listed under: 1 other name
Description: mir-8834 microRNA precursor family
Rfam family: mir-8834 microRNA precursor family
Source: Rfam by way of RNAcentral
AGGAGGAACAACCACAGUGGCGGCGGCCAGCUCUGGAGCCCUGGAUUCAGCUCCCACAGUACCUCCGGAGCUCUCAGUGUGCAGGGGCCUGGAUGUUCCAGGGGCGG